Molecule: ribosomal RNA, 728 nt
Filed under: uncultured Planctomycetota bacterium
Lineage: Bacteria; Pseudomonadati; Planctomycetota
Description: bacterial SSU rRNA
Rfam family: Bacterial small subunit ribosomal RNA
Source: RNAcentral
GCUUGAGCACGUAGGUGGGUUUGUAAGUCAGAUGUGAAAGCCUUCUGUUCAACGGAAGAAUUGCAUCUGAAACUACGAGUCUUGAGUGUAGGAGGGGAGAAUGGAACUUCUGGUGGAGCGGUGAAAUCCGUAGAUAUCAGAAGGAACGCCGGCGGCGAAAGCGAUUCUCUGGCCUAUUACUGACACUCAGUGUGCGAAAGCUAGGGGAGCAAACGGGAUUAGAUACCCCGGUAGUCCUAGCCGUAAACGAUGGGCACUAAGUAGAGGGAAUUACCGAUGUUCUCUCUGCCGUAGCUAACGCAUUAAGUGCCCCGCCUGGGGAGUACGGCCGCAAGGCUAAAACUCAAAAGAAUUGACGGGGGCUCGCACAAGCGGUGGAGCAUGUGGCUUAAUUCGAUGCAACGCGAAGAACCUUACCGGGGCUUGACAUGGUAGAAGUAGGAACCUGAAAGGGUAACGAACGGUAUCCAGUCCGUAGCUAUCACAGGUGUUGCAUGGCUGUCGUCAGCUCGUGUCGUGAGACGUUGGGUUAAGUCCCCUAACGAGCGAAACCCUUGUUUUUAGUUACCAGCGGGUUAUGCCGGGUACUCUAGAAAGACUGCCGUCGUCAAGACGGAGGAAGGUGGGGAUGACGUCAAGUCAUCAUGGCCCUUAUGCCCCGGGCUGCACACGUGCUACAAUGGUCGGUACAAACGGAAGCGAAGCCGAGAGGUGAAGCGAAUCCAAGC